RNAcentral lists this long non-coding RNA (362 nucleotides) under Rattus norvegicus (Norway rat). RNAcentral describes it as "long non-coding RNA NONRATT020933". The record is from RNAcentral. Lineage: Eukaryota; Metazoa; Chordata; Mammalia; Rodentia; Muridae.
CACAGGCUGCAGGGGUGGUCUCCAUCAGGCUCUGUCACUGUGUGCUCACUGCAUGAGCACUCACUGAGCCCCCAGGGGACUGCAGCAGUGAGAAGCUGGGGGAGAAAUGGUGUGCUCUGGUAAAGGAGCAGCCCAGCAAACAGGACAGCAUUGCAGAUUUACAGCUCUGGUGUGGGAUGGACAACAACAACUCUGGAUGCUAGGAAGAUCGAUUCAGAGACGCUGUGAGGUCAAGGAUGAAAGCAGCAGUGAGACACUGAUAUGAAGGUCCUCCUGAUGAAGAGCUCUCCUUUCAAACUGUGGCUCAUUUACUUGGACUGCUCAGUCUUGCUACUAAUUAUAUUUUUAAAACAUAUAAGAAA